UUUCAGUAAAGUUGGGCAGCGAGCCUUAACGAAGCGAGGGCUGUUAUCACCUCUCCUUAGCCCUUUAAGUGCAGCAGGCUCUUUGGUGUCUCUCGCUGAAUGCCGCUUUGUUAAUUGCGACGGUAAACAGGACACAGCGCUGACCAUCGCACUUACCACAGAACCGCUGGGUUUGGGAAAGGAGCCUGGGUCCAGCGGGAGUCACACAUGAAGGAGGGUUCGUAGAAGUACUCAGCAUUUCCUGGACUUGCUUCUAUCAUUUAAAAUGUAUUGCAUACCUUGAAGUGAAUGUAAUGGCUGGCUUAAUUGGAGAUAACUUCACUGAAGUGGCCGUGGUUACCAUUUAUGUCAGCGGUGAAUGUGCCCUUUAACGCUGUGCCCCUCAGCUUUUUCUGGAGCCUUGGCCAUAUCUGUUCAAGAUCACGUGUUUAUGCCACAUCAGUGCAAACUUGCUGUUUUUCCUACCUCAGAUCAGGACAGGAACAAACAUACCAUCAAAACCGGAUGACAGAAGUAUUUAAGAGAAGAUGCUGA
RNAcentral lists this long non-coding RNA (534 nucleotides) under Zonotrichia albicollis (white-throated sparrow). RNAcentral's name for it is "lncRNA (ENSZALG00000011124.1)". The record is from RNAcentral. Lineage: Eukaryota; Metazoa; Chordata; Aves; Passeriformes; Passerellidae.